RNAcentral lists this ribosomal RNA (451 nucleotides) under uncultured bacterium. RNAcentral describes it as "SSU rRNA". It matches the Rfam family "Bacterial small subunit ribosomal RNA", at positions 26 to 518 of the family's 1533-position model. The record is from RNAcentral.
AGGACGAACGCUGGCGGCAUGCCUAACACAUGCAAGUCGAACGUGAUCCAGGCUUCGGCCUGGUGAAAGUGGCAGACGGGUGAGUAACGCGUGGGAACCUGCCCUGUGGUAGGGAAUAACCGUGGGAAACUGCGGCUAAUACCCUAUGAGUCCUUCGGGAGAAAGAUUUAUCGCCAUAGGAGGGGCCCGCGUCGGAUUAGGUAGUUGGUGGGGUAACGGCCUACCAAGCCUUCGAUCCGUAGCUGGUCUGAGAGGAUGAUCAGCCACACUGGGACUGAGAUACGGCCCAGACUCCUACGGGAGGCAGCAGUGGGAAUAUUGGACAAUGGGGGCAACCCUGAUCCAGCAAUGCGCGUGGAUGAUGAAGGCCUUGGGUUGUAAAGUCCUUUCGGCGGGAAGAUGAUGACGGUACCGCAGAAGAAGCCCCGGCUAACUUCGUGCCAGCAGCCGC